RNAcentral lists this ribosomal RNA (92 nucleotides) under uncultured Chlamydiales bacterium. RNAcentral's name for it is "partial 16S ribosomal RNA". It matches the Rfam family "Bacterial small subunit ribosomal RNA", at positions 364 to 455 of the family's 1533-position model. Lineage: Bacteria; Pseudomonadati; Chlamydiota; Chlamydiia; Chlamydiales. The record is from RNAcentral.
UUUCGCAAUGGGCGAAAGCCUGACGAAGCGACGCCGUGUGAGCGAUGAAGGCCCUCGGGUUGUAAAGCUCUUUCGCCUGGGAACAAGAGAGG